CGUGGGACCUCUGCUGGAUUAGUCACAGCACAUGGACAGAGCACCAUGCUGGGAACCAGUGGACGGCACUGGUGACCGCUGCAGCCAGUUAGGUGCAGGAACAAAUCCUCUGGAGUGUGAAGCCAUACGCUACCUGGAGGUUCAGCCGCCCUGCGUCUCAAAUCAAAGCCCGUUUUGGUCUCUGCCCAAUAAUAGAGGUUCGGCCUCACGGUGAUGUGGACCCGGGCGAACAAAAGAAUCAAAUCACAGCUGGAGCUUCUGCACACGUCUUCACAUGGAGCCUCCUCAGUGCCAGUGGACGGGCUUUUUUGGACCUGGCGUUUCCCCGGUUCGGGGCUGGGGACACUGGGUGGCAGUGUGUCCCCCCGUACAGGAGCAGCCAUGUUCCCCAUCUGCUCCCGGCUCCGUCGGUGUGAACUCAGAUCUGCUGGGGUUUAAGAGACGGUGAAACAUCCUGCGUCACACGGAGCCAAGUUUGUUCCUCACAAGGAGAAAAAUCUUCAUAUCCAUCU
This is a long non-coding RNA of Poeciliopsis prolifica (blackstripe livebearer), 512 nucleotides long. RefSeq lists it as uncharacterized. Lineage: Eukaryota; Metazoa; Chordata; Actinopteri; Cyprinodontiformes; Poeciliidae. The record is from RefSeq and is a predicted model, not a curated record. The transcript has 3 exons.